This 861-nucleotide long non-coding RNA is filed under the name Capsicum annuum. RNAcentral describes it as "long non-coding RNA (CANN_LNC007222)". Lineage: Eukaryota; Viridiplantae; Streptophyta; Magnoliopsida; Solanales; Solanaceae. The record is from RNAcentral.
GUAGAUUCUUUUUUAAUGGAUAAAAAAAAUUAAAAAAAUAAUGUGGACCUCUAAUAUGUUACCACAUGACAAAGCUGCUUUCUAAAAUCCAGCUGCUAAAGUAAUGGCAUGAAUGAGUCAAUUUUAUUAGACGAUGGCAUCAAUGAUCCCAAUUUUUAACGGAUGACAUAAAUGAGUCAUUUGAUAGUUCAAUGACAUAUUUGAGUAUUUUCCCUUCUUAAAAUUCAAGAACCAAAUCAAUGACUUAAAUCACUUCCGAACCACAUCGAAAUCUGUAACACCCAUCCUCACAAGUCAUAAAUCACGUACAAAAACUACAGGAAGGUUUAAAAUGGAAAAUUAAGUAAGAUUCACAAAACGAAUAUGAGGGUCGAUACAUUACUUGCAUCAUUAAGGUUCUGAAAUAACGAUUAAACAAAUGCAAAAUUGUCCUUUUUAAGUUCUAAUCUCUAGUACAGUAAUCAUAUUGCCGCUUCUUUUCCUCGAACGAUCUUAAAGUUUAAAGAGAAGAACCUAUUCGUUCAUGCUCUCUCUGCCUCGAAUUUCAGAAUAGCAAGAUAAAAAUCAGGUUCAUCUACAAAUUUGACUAAUUCAAAUGAAUGGUCCGCAGCAACAUUUUGCAGCAACAUCUUCUCAGGCAAAUUAGAAACAACCACAUCUGGCUAUUUUUUUCUGUUGUUCUUCAACCACUUGCCUGCCUUGUGGAUGACUAAUCACAACUCUUGCACCUGAACAUAUAAAAGCAACUAUCAGAGCAUUUAAACCCCAUCAAGCAAUCCCUCUUAGAUUUGUGCAACGUGGAUCAUUUUGCCUUGAUGAAAACAUAAGAUCAAAUGUAGUACACGAUACAUAAGUACAGUA